RNAcentral lists this ribosomal RNA (253 nucleotides) under uncultured bacterium. RNAcentral's name for it is "partial 16S ribosomal RNA". It matches the Rfam family "Bacterial small subunit ribosomal RNA", at positions 524 to 776 of the family's 1533-position model. The record is from RNAcentral.
UACGUAGGGUGCAAGCGUUACUCGGAAUUACUGGGCGUAAAGCGUGCGUAGGUGGUGAUUUAAGUCUGAUGUGAAAUCCCCGGGCUCAACCUGGGAAUGGCAUUGGAUACUGGCUCGCUAGAGUGCGGUAGAGGGUGGUGGAAUUCCCGGUGUAGCAGUGAAAUGCGUAGAGAUCGGGAGGAACAUCUGUGGCGAAGGCGGCCACCUGGACCAACACUGACACUGAGGCACGAAAGCGUGGGGAGCAAACAGG